UGGGGAAUAUUGGACAAUGGGCGCAAGCCUGAUCCAGCCAUGCCGCGUGAGAGAUGAAGGCCUUAGGGUUGUAAAGCUCUUUUGUCCGGGACGAUAAUGACGGUACCGGAAGAAUAAGCCCCGGCUAACUUCGUGCCAGCAGCCGCGGUAAUACGAAGGGGGCUAGCGUUGCUCGGAAUCACUGGGCGUAAAGGGCGCGUAGGCGGCUAUUUAAGUCGGGGGUGAAAGCCUGUGGCUCAACCACAGAAUUGCCUUCGAUACUGGAUAGCUUGAGUAUGGUAGAGGUUGGUGGAACUGCGAGUGUAGAGGUGAAAUUCGUAGAUAUUCGCAAGAACACCGGUGGCGAAGGCGGCCAACUGGACCAUUACUGACGCUGAGGCGCGAAAGCGUGGGGAGCAAACAGG
This 404-nucleotide ribosomal RNA is filed under the name bacterium. RNAcentral's name for it is "partial 16S ribosomal RNA". It matches the Rfam family "Bacterial small subunit ribosomal RNA", at positions 355 to 776 of the family's 1533-position model. The record is from RNAcentral.